RNAcentral lists this ribosomal RNA (864 nucleotides) under uncultured cyanobacterium. Its description in RNAcentral is "bacterial SSU rRNA". It matches the Rfam family "Bacterial small subunit ribosomal RNA", at positions 8 to 915 of the family's 1533-position model. The record is from RNAcentral. Lineage: Bacteria; Bacillati; Cyanobacteriota.
AGAGUUUGAUCCUGGCUCAGGAUGAACGCUGGCGGUAUGCCUAACACAUGCAAGUCGAACGGAACCUUCGGGUUUAGUGGCGGACGGGUGAGUAACGCGUGAGAAACUGCCCCUUGGAUCGGGACAACAGCUGGAAACGGCUGCUAACACCGGAUGUGCCGAAAGGUGAAAUAUUUAUAGCCAGGGGAUGUGCUCGCGUCUGAUUAGCUAGUUGGUGGUGUAAUGGACUACCAAGGCGACGAUCAGUAGCUGGUCUGAGGGGAUGAGCAGCCACACUGGGACUGAGACACGGCCCAGACUCCUACGGGAGGCAGCAGUGGGGAAUUUUCCGCAAUGGGCGCAAGCCUGACGGAGCAAUACCGCGUGAGGGAGGAAGGCUCUUGGGUCGUAAACCUCUUUCCUCAGGGAAGAACACAAUGACGGUACCUGAGGAAUCAGCAUCGGCUAACUCCGUGCCAGCAGCCGCGGUAAUACGGAGGAUGCAAGCGUUAUCCGGAAUGAUUGGGCGUAAAGCGUCCGUAGGUGGUUUUGUAAGUCUGUGGUUAAAGCGUGUAGCUCAACUACAUAUCAGCCAUGGAAACUACAAGACUUGAGUGAAGUAGGGGUAGAGGGAAUUCCCAGUGUAGCGGUGAAAUGCGUAGAGAUUGGGAAGAACACCGGUGGCGAAAGCGCUCUACUGGACUUAUACUGACACUGAGGGACGAAAGCUAGGGGAGCGAAAGGGAUUAGAUACCCCUGUAGUCCUAGCCGUAAACGAUGGAUACUAGGUGUUGCCCGUAUCGACCCGGGCAGUGCCGUAGCUAACGCGUUAAGUAUCCCGCCUGGGGAGUACGCACGCAAGUGUGAAACUCAAAGGAAUUGACG